GCUGGUGUUCUGCAGGCACUUUUGUGUCUGAAUACUUUUGUGUGUUCCUGAGGUAUCCGUGGAGAGGUACUCCAUGCCCAUCUAUUCCUCUGCCAUCUUGUUCUCUCUGGAGAGUGGCCUUUUGGGGUACAGGCCUUGAAUGGGUGUCGGAGGCUCAUGGAAACAUGUGCUUUGCUUGUCUUCAUUAAGGUCCGGAUUCCUCCACCUCUUUGCUUAGUCCGCCAGGAACAGUGCAAAUCAGUGAAUGACGUCCUAACUGUCAGACCUUUCAUACAUUGAAAAGUCGGUACAGUGAAAGAGUUGAUCCCAGACUUCUCCCAUUUUCCAUUGUUUUGUUUGUUUUUUUUUUUCAUCACAGACCUAUCGUUCAGAGGAACUGCUUGUUGGGAGCUUGUGACGCAUGUUGGCGUGCAGGCCCUUGGAAGCCCUGCACCACAGCCUGUGGCCGAGGCUUCCAGUCUCGGAAAGUUGACUGUGUCCACCCAGGGAGCUGCAAGCCGGUGACUAAGACACGCUGUGCACCAGGGAAGAAACCUGCUUCCUGGCAGCAUUGCCUGGGGCCUUCCUGUGACAGUACGUACCCCUCGCAGGAGACUGCACAGACACAACUCACUACUGUACGUUUGUAAAGCAUCUUCAUUUGUGUUCAUUAGACCGCUACAAACGAAGGUGCUGUCAGUCGUGUCAAGAAGGAUAAAACUUUGUGGGGGUCAUUAUGCUGCUGUGAAGGUAAAACAAAAAUGUAAAAGCUCCUUCUCCCCCAUGUAGCUUAUUCCAAAACAUUUGUAAUACUUCUCUAAAAGUCUCAAUUCUAGGAUCAAACUGAAGUCAAUGCAAAAUCACCACUGUUAACAUUGGAUGCUGUCAUGUCCCAUGACUGGUUUUUAAUUCUAACUCUUUUAAGUGAUAUAUUCCAGGACUAACAUAAAAUCCCAUAAGUAGCAGGCACGCCAUUGCCCUUGGGACCUCAGGAGACCCCCAGGGUCACCAGUGCACUGUCACUAGCUGCCUCUUCCUGUCGUUUGUAGACUGGCACAGAGUGGGACAUCCUGAAGACUUGGGAAACACAGCAGCUGAUGGCCUCUCUCAGUUCUAGGGUUGCAGCAGGUUGAUAAGGCAUCUAUGUUUUAGAAGCUCUGGCCACUAGUCGUUAAGAUGUUGACUCUGAUGGCAUUUCUAUGGAUUGUUACAUGUCGUCUGUGAGAGAGUCACUCUGGACAGGUUUGUAACCCUGACUGACCCGGAGGUCCUGGGGGGAAUGGCACCUUGUCCUCACUCUUAAGAGAACCUGUGGAAGGAAACACAGAGUAAACGUGGCUGCCGUUUCACAACUGUGGAAGGAAAUGUGUGACCGCAUGAGGUAUCUUAGAAUACAAAGGAGAGGGAAAGUCCACCUUGUCUACUGAUUUUGAAGUAUAUUCAAAGCAUCCUUUUAAGAGCUGUGAAUGAGACUUUUCUAAGCACUAUUCUCUUGCACACAAACAGAAAAUCAAAGUCUUAUAAGACCUAAUUUAUGCAGAAAAUAAUAUUCCUAAGGAUUUUUAUUUUGGAAAAACUGUAAGAAAGUAAUGUAACUAUGAAACAUGAUAGCUGACCAGAGUCAUUUAUAGUAAAUAACUGUUUUAGUUUGAACUGAUUUUUCAGUGAAUCCAAAGUGAAUUAGGGUUGAGCUGUAAUGUACAGUUAGGAUGAGGAGUUAGAAUUGGGGUUUGGUAAGUUUAGGGUUGGUUUUAAUUUCAGGGUUGGGUUAGUUGAGAAUGGAAGGUAAGUUGGGGUUGAGGCUGCAGUUGACUUUAUGGAUUAGGGUUAGGUCAGAGUUGGUUUGGGUUUGGGUUUGGGGUCAGUGAUGGUGUCGGGGUGAAGAUGAAGUUUGGAGUAAAUGUUAUAUGUUCUAAAGCUGAUUUGGUUAGGGGGCUCUUUCCUUCCAUCUUACCAGUUAUGGCAUUAGUUGGCACCCAGCCCCAAAUAAGUGGUCAUACGUGUUUGUUCAGGGUCACAGCUGCCUGCGGCCUGUGGCAGCAGAGUCUGCUGAGGCAGGUGUGCUGGCCCUAGCCCCUGGCCACACGUAGGUGAACAGUGCGCUCUGGCUUCGGGUGUGUCUGGACAAGCUUGCUGAGUCCCUGCCAUAUCCUGAGCACCGCAGCUCUUCUCACUGCAGCCUCACCGACACCUGGAUGAGCGCUACUGUACUGGAGGGUGUGGCGGUCGGGAGUAGGUGUGGGGAUGUGACGAGGACACGCCAGCCCCUGAGUUGUUCAUCACCAAUCACACUUGAUUGCUGGAGGUUUUUAAGUUAAAAGAGAGAGCAUUUGUACAAUACUCUUUGUAUAUAUUUUUAUAUGACUUAUAGGUGCAAUAUUUUAUUUUGUACAGUAUGUAAUAAAGAUAUGGGACAUAUAUUUUUCUUAGUAACAAAAUUUCCUAUUAAAUUUCUUCAUCUUUGUAGUUCAAGUGGCUGUUUUUCAUGUGCUGAUGUACCGUUUGUCUUUGAUAUCAUUCAAAUGACAUUGCUGUGUACUGUAUUUUACUACUGUUUCUAUCACAUAAGAGUUCUCUGUCAUGAUUCUGACUAGUAAUUCAAAAAUAAAUGUACUUUGAUUAUUCA
Molecule: non-coding RNA, 2605 nt
Organism: Odocoileus virginianus texanus
Lineage: Eukaryota; Metazoa; Chordata; Mammalia; Artiodactyla; Cervidae
Source: RefSeq, a predicted model, not a curated record